Molecule: ribosomal RNA, 253 nt
Filed under: uncultured bacterium
Lineage: Bacteria
Description: partial 16S ribosomal RNA
Rfam family: Bacterial small subunit ribosomal RNA
Source: RNAcentral
UACGUAGGGUGCAAGCGUUGUCCGGAAUUAUUGGGCGUAAAGAGCUCGUAGGCGGUUUGUUGCGUCGGCUGUGAAAACCUGAGGCUCAACCUCAGGCCUGCAGUCGAUACGAGCAGACUAGAGUGUUGCAGGGGAGACUGGAAUUCCUGGUGUAGCGGUGAAAUGCGCAGAUAUCAGGAGGAACACCGGUGGCGAAGGCGGUUCUCUGGGCAUGUCCUGACGCUGAGGAGCGAAAGCAUGGGGAGCGAACAGG